CUGUGGGCCACCUAGUCACC
RNAcentral lists this microRNA (20 nucleotides) under Mus musculus (house mouse). Its description in RNAcentral is "mmu-miR-134-3p". Its record names the gene mmu-miR-134-3p. Lineage: Eukaryota; Metazoa; Chordata; Mammalia; Rodentia; Muridae. The record is from miRBase by way of RNAcentral.